Molecule: ribosomal RNA, 659 nt
Filed under: Photobacterium sp. MR04-09
Lineage: Bacteria; Pseudomonadati; Pseudomonadota; Gammaproteobacteria; Vibrionales; Vibrionaceae
Description: bacterial SSU rRNA
Rfam family: Bacterial small subunit ribosomal RNA
Source: RNAcentral
GAGUAAUGCCUGGGAAUAUGCCUUGAUGUGGGGGAUAACUAUUGGAAACGAUAGCUAAUACCGCAUAAUGCCUACGGGCCAAAGAGGGGGAUCUUCGGACCUCUCGCGUCAAGAUUAGCCCAGGUGGGAUUAGCUAGUUGGUGGGGUAAUGGCUCACCAAGGCGACGAUCCCUAGCUGGUUUGAGAGGAUGAUCAGCCACACUGGAACUGAGACACGGUCCAGACUCCUACGGGAGGCAGCAGUGGGGAAUAUUGCACAAUGGGGGAAACCCUGAUGCAGCCAUGCCGCGUGUAUGAAGAAGGCCUUCGGGUUGUAAAGUACUUUCAGUUGUGAGGAAGGCGGUAACGUUAAUAGCGNUGCCGUUUGACGUUAGCAACAGAAGAAGCACCGGCUAACUCCGUGCCAGCAGCCGCGGUAAUACGGAGGGUGCGAGCGUUAAUCGGAAUUACUGGGCGUAAAGCGCAUGCAGGCGGUCUGUUAANCAAGAUGUGAANGCCCGGGGCUCAACCUCGGAACAGCAUUUUGAACUGGCAGACUANAGUCUUGUAGAGGGGGGUAGAAUUUCAGGUGUANCGGUGAAAUGCGUANAGAUCUGAAGGAAUACCGGUGGCGAANGCGGCCCCCUGGACAAAGACUGACGCUCANAUGCGAAAGCGUG